AAAUAAAUAAAAUAAAAAAAGUAAUCAAAACCAGUUUCAACUUUAUAGGUAUAGAAUACAGUCUUUAGUUUGCAAUGACACCUGGGUAGCUCCACUUGUAAUUUAAAGGAACACUGCACACACCACGUUUGCUCACCUUGCCUUGGCAAACCACCACCCCCACCCAAUGCAAGAUGCUAAAACAUUUUAGAAUGAUUUGACUACUUAUUUGAGGCUCACUGAAUGCCAAGCUCCACAUCUACUAUUUAUUGUUGAGAGCCAAAGCUCCUAAGCAGCUCUUCUCAGCCCUAGUUGAGGGCAUUGGCUUUU
This is a non-coding RNA of Pelobates cultripes (western spadefoot toad), 309 nucleotides long. The record is from the annotation of a GenBank genome assembly. Lineage: Eukaryota; Metazoa; Chordata; Amphibia; Anura; Pelobatidae.